UUGUUUGCUAAACUGAACUCUAAUAACAUUCAUAUUAUUUAGAAUUAGUCUAUACAUUAUCUUUGAUAUCUUCUUUUUGUUCAUGUUAUUAUUGUGAUUUUUUUGGUCUAAGAGUUAGAUUGAUCAGCUGAACGUUAAAGACCUAGGGCUAAUUAUUUUGUUCCUUUUUUCUCUAAAAAUAUUUAGUGCACUUAUUUAUUCUUUUAGAUUUCUUAUGCAUCGUAACAAAUCCAUUUGUUAUGUAUACUCAAGUAUAGGCUAAAUCACCGCUUAGCGACCCCGGGCAGCCACCCGAGCUCAUCAGCGAAGUGCAAAGGGAUUUUUUAUUUUGUAUAAAAAAGAAACACAAUAAUUUUUUUAGAUAAAUACUUCUACAUAAUAAGAAACAUAUAGGCAUGUAAAAGUUUUUAGCUCCACCAGUAUAUACAUUAUGGCCUUGUAUGUAUCUCCUCGGACAUGAUCGUUGGUUAUCCUUGUUUGAAUGACCCACUAUGUCUAGAUCCUGGCUCCACCCCUGUCUAUCAAUAAGUAUUACAUUAUGCUCGCUCCACCAGUAUUCAACCCUUUAAUUGGGAACGCGGGGCUGAACAACCAGCUAGGCCACGUCGCCCUAAAUCUCUUCGACCGUUCGAUUCCGUGAUCAACGCUCCAAAAUCACUCCUCAGCUAUCUUUAGUCCCCCCGACCCCGUAAGAAAAUCUCCCCCUCUCCUCUUUCUCCCCGUCUCUUCCCUUCCCCUCCCUCUCUCUUUCUCCCGACCUCUCCAGAAAUAGGCAGGGCGGCGGCGCCGCCAGCCAUGGCCGGUGCCUGUCCCCCGGCACGGCGGCGACCCUCCUCCUCUCCACCAUCCUCUAUGCAGGAUCCUCUCCCCCUCUCCCUCUCUAAUCUCCGGUUUCGCUCCUUCUCCCGCUCUCCUCGCGCAGGUUGGGCGACCAUGACGGCGGUGGUGCUCCGCGCGGCGGUGACCGGUGCUCGGCACGGAGGCUGCCGCCCUACUCCUUCCCUCCCUCUCUCCCGGCCCCCUCCCUCCCUUCCUCCCUCCCUCCCCCUCGCAUGGUAUCUGUUGCAAAACCCUAUCUGCCAUUUGAGCGCGUUUCCGAGCGUCCACGCCAUCCACAUCUCCCUUCCUUGUCUAAUGCUUCAUAUCUUCCUGAUGCUUUGGUUAACUCUAAGAAGCAAUGAGAUUAGAUUUCGAGAUGCAGGUUCUAGCCUUUAAAAUACGGAAAAAAAAAAUCCUCCGAUGGUGCACAGGAAAUUUUUUUUCUAGCGAUGGAGCACAAUUUCAUAGCAGCAAAGUGAAGACCUGAAACGCAAGUGCUUUUUGUGUUAUAGCAGAUAAAGAAAAACUGAAGAGAGUUUCGAACCUGCCAAAUUUCUCCUUGCUCCUCCUGCCCUCCUUACGUUAGUAUUAUUUCUUUGUCCCUACUAGCAUAUUUGUAUUUUUUUAUUUGUGUAAACAAAUUGAAGGGAUUUGUUUUGAAGAUGUUAUAUAUAAUUAAAACUGGGUUUAUCAAUUUGAUUAGCAGCAGGAUAUUUACCAAAAAAAGGAAUAUAUACUAUUUGUUCUAUGUCUAGAGAAAACUGCCAAUGUUUUAUGGAAGGGAUAUAUUUUAAUUAAUUCAUUUAGGGCUAUUUUUGAAUCAGUGAUUACUCUAUGACCUUAAGUAGUUUGGGCCUUUGGGGCUAAAGCAAAUUUAGGGCUGGAUGAUUUCCCAGUAUACAUGUUGCAUGCUACGUUCAUUCUGGUUGCACUAGGCUAUCUGAAGGUUCGACCUACGAUAAGCUAACUGAGAAAAUGCUACCCAGUAUGCGUCAUUGGUAUAUAAUCUUCCUGAUUAGACUAACUCAUCCUCCAAAUUCAUUGUCUGCUUUGGGGUUUAUGCAACAACAACUGAUGAUUUAGGAGAUCUUCUCUAAAUAAUAUUAGUUAGCCUUUGCUAUCUUGUUUGUUAAUAACAUAUUUUGAAUUUUAUCUUUAGGAACUACAUUGCAUCAAUAUCUUUAGAGGUACUAAUGUAGGAUUUUAACUACAUAAUGUGAUUUUCAUGCAGGCUACUAUUGCUUCAUGAAUCUCCAAAGGUGGAAAAAUCCUUCUAUCAGAAUAUGUAAAAACAGGUAUGUGCAUUAUCACUUAAAUGCGGUAUAAGAACAGGUAUGUGCAUUAUCACUUAAAUGCACUAAACAGGCAUGUGCAUUAUUACAGAACAGCUGGAUUGUUGGUGCUCCCUCCCUCUCUCUCCCUUACCCCCUCUCACCCUCUCUCCUUGGAGCUUCACCUUUGGCCAUGAACCGAUUUUUUUCAAGUAUUUUCUCAAACCAGCCACAUUUGGCCGCCAACCAUGAGCUAAUUUGUGUUUUGCUAUUUUUAGAUAAAAAUGAUUCCAGGUUUACACACAAAAAAUGGAUACCUCAUUUAUUUUUGUGCACCCAAAGUGAUUCAAUGUUUAGCAAAAUGAAAUUUGGGGGUGGUUGAUGGAGGUUCGGCUCGCAUCUCUUUUUUUUGGCUAUGUCAUCUGCUACGUGCAGGCUUCCUUUUUCACAAGUCUCAUUUCCAACCUUAUUUGUAUAUUGUCAGGUUUGUGCUUUUUUGUAAUCAUUUGCUUAUUUUUAGAUGAUAAACCAUAGUUUAUGCAUUUUAAAUAAAGCAUAACACGGCAUCUGUUUCCCUAUUCAUUGUCGUCAAUUUUGACAUCACCUGUUUUUUCCCUAUGCUCAACAAUGACAUAUGAAAGGAGCCUAAUAUAUUCUGGUUAUAUCUUGAGGCCAUGGGUAUUGAAGAAAUGUAUGUACUGCACAAAAACAAUUAAUAGGUGUCCUCUGUAUACUUACUCUAAGCAUAUGUGGUAAUGAGAGAAAGGAGAAAGUGGGCCUACCUCUCUACCCAGAUUGUUGCCAUCAGAAGGUUUUUUAUGAAAGAUAUUUGUGUUGACAUUGUCCACAUGUUUUUAAAAUUUCACUGUGCCUAAUAUAUUUAUGAGACCUGUUUUUCUUUUCAUCCUUAUGAGUUCUGAUUUUGAACUGCUCAAAGCUGGAGUUUUCGGAUCAUGCUCUUUCCAUUCUAAAUUUUCUUCCCUCCAUGGUACAGUCAAUAGGUCUGGACCCAUAAAAUUCUCUUGGUUUUGACAUCGAUGAUGGAGAAAUAAUGGGAGGAAAGACAACAACAUGUGACCAUUGAUGAUACUUGACAAGACUAACCUAAAGACAUUGGAGAUUACAAAGGAAGAACUUUUUGCAAGUCUCAAAGGUGUUUAUCAUGGUUCUGUUUACACAGGUUUGUUUUUAAUUUACACCUGCCCAUUUUACCUUUGAUAUGUCAAGCUAUAGUUCACUUCAAAACUUUAUAUUAGUUUGCUUGUUUUGGUGUCAUUCAUAUAUGUAUGCAUUUCCUCCGGUGCUAUCUUGCCUAUUCAAAACUGCCUUAGCAUCUGUUUAUAUGUGCUCCUAGCAACCUUACAAAUCAGAGUUGUUCUAAAUUAUAUUUUUAGUAUAGUGUGAUCCUCGGUAGCAAUGUACGUUGUGUGCACAAUCCAUUUCACUUGCUCAUACUUGCAUAGGAUCAUAUACCUACGACACACCUACAACUAAGACUACACCAUACUUUCAUCAACUUUUUAACAAAUAGAUUUUGCAGCUAGAGAUUAAUCGAACAACUCAAUUACAAACACGAAAACCAACUUAUGUAUCUAAAUAUACGUAUAUAAAAAUUCCAGCUUUAUCUUCACGGCUCUAUAGCUCUAACACAUUUGUACUGAAUAAAUAAUUCUAUCAGACUGGCAACCAUAUGCACCAUGAACAGGUAACAAAACAACUAUCAGAUCUCAUACGUCCAUAAACUAAAAAAACAAAUUUCGUACUACUUGCGAAAGCCUUACAUGAUUUAAUUCUUAAACAGAUCUGUCUACCUGCGACACGGUCUCUUUAACCAUCAAUUUCUGAAGAGACCAUCAAGCGCAUCCAGCUGUGCAAGAUCUAGGACAAACAACUGUACAAUAUAUCCCAAGGUAUAUACUGUUACAUGCUGUAAUAUAAGCCAUCUAUCAUGUCUACCCUAUGUAUAUGACCAUCAGCUGUUGUACGCCAUAAACCACCAACAUCACUGCUGUAUGCCUUAAACUCUAUGUUUCGACAAGAUUGUAAAUAUAUAUGGAUCAAGGCAUUUUUCUUGUGCAAA
This is a long non-coding RNA of Sorghum bicolor (sorghum), 4170 nucleotides long. RefSeq lists it as uncharacterized. Lineage: Eukaryota; Viridiplantae; Streptophyta; Magnoliopsida; Poales; Poaceae. The record is from RefSeq and is a predicted model, not a curated record. The transcript is spliced from 3 exons.